CUGUAGGUGACGCAGCUAACGCAUUAAGCUCUCCGCCUGGGGAGUACGGUCGCAAGAUUAAAACUCAAAGGAAUUGACGGGGGCCCGCACAAGCGGUGGAGCAUGUGGUUUAAUUCGACGCAACGCGAAGAACCUUACCUGGCCUUGACAUGCAGAGAACUUUCCAGAGAUGGAUUGGUGCCUUCGGGAACUCUGACACAGGUGCUGCAUGGCCGUCGUCAGCUCGUGUCGUGAGAUGUUGGGUUAAGUCCCGCAACGAGCGCAACCCUCGCCUUUAGUUGCCAUCAUUCAGUUGGGCACUCUAAAGGGACUGCCGGUGAUAAGCCGGAGGAAGGUGGGGAUGACGUCAGGUCAUCAUGGCCCUUACGGCCAGGGCUACACACGUGCUACAAUGGUGCGUACAGAGGGCUGCAAACCCGCGAGGGGGAGCUAAUCUCACAAAACGCAUCGUAGUCCGGAUCGGAGUCUGCAACUCGACUCCGUGAAGUCGGAAUCGCUAGUAAUCGCGAAUCAGAAUGUCGCGGUGAAUACGUUCCCGGGCCUUGUACACACCGCCCGUCACACCAUGGGAGUGGAUUGCACCAGAAGUAGUUAGUCUAACCU
This 603-nucleotide ribosomal RNA is filed under the name Ostreococcus mediterraneus. RNAcentral's name for it is "partial Bacterial small subunit ribosomal RNA". It matches the Rfam family "Bacterial small subunit ribosomal RNA", at positions 837 to 1441 of the family's 1533-position model. Lineage: Eukaryota; Viridiplantae; Chlorophyta; Mamiellophyceae; Mamiellales; Bathycoccaceae. The record is from RNAcentral.